UAUCAAUCCUUGGACAGGGAACAGUUUCCAAACCUUUUUGCUAAUGCACAGAAGUGGAUCUCCAUGUUUGGAAGCACUUACAUUUGUGAACAGAUGUUUUCCUUGAUGAAGCUGAAUAAAUCUCCCCUGCGGACUAGACUAACUGAUGAGAACCUACAGGCAGUGCUCAGACUUGCAACCACCUCACUGGAGCCUGACAUUAAUCAGGUUGUGUCAGAACGGCGCUGCAAUAUCUCCCAUUGACCAAGAUAUUUCUUGUAAGUAGCUGAUAUUAUGCAAUAGUAGCAUAGUGAAACAAUGUAUUCCAAAUUUGUGUGGAGACACCUGUAAAAAUGUGUGGCCCUCUGGUCUAGGUGUUAAUGUGAAAUUGGCCCUUGGUUAAAAGAAGUUGUGCACCCCUGCUGUAAGGUGAUGAUAUUGUUAAUAGGUCAUCCCAGAGAGGACUGUGAUUAACUAGUUAGGGUUACAAAGAUAUUUUUAUGUACACUGCUACACGGUGAUCUCUUCUAACUCUUAGGGGCUGUGGUCUGUUUUCUCAGACUGUUGGAAACCCACUUCCUCCAUCUGCACUUCCUAGUGUACUCAGAAGAAGAUCUUACACAAGGCUACAACUGUAAAAUACCCUUUUUAAUUUGAUUUAAUCACUCUGGGAACAGUGUUGAUAUGGCGGUUCUUCAGGCUGGGAUUCUGCAUCUGGCUCCUUGUAUCCUGAUGAUUCUCCUGACCUGUGGAGAUUUUACCAAGGCAAAUAUUUUUAAACCAUUUCCCUGGAUCAACAAAACUGCUGAUCAGGGUGAAACUGUUGUUUUACACUGUAAGGGAAGUUAUGAUAGUGGAGAAGAUUUUGUUUGGCGUAAGGAUGGGAAUCUUCUUUUCGUCUACAGCCCCUUAAUUAACCAAACUGUAACAAACUACACAUCAAGCAGGAUGAGUGUAGAUCCCAGUGAUCCACGGAAACUACAGAUAUCUAACGUUCAGCCUUCAGAUGCAGGAACCUAUUCCUGCUUCCCAUCAAGAAUUCUAUGGAUUCUGACCAUAAAAGGAAUAUCUGUGCCUGCGUCACACAAAAGCACUAUUUUUAUCAUUGUCCGCUCAGUUGGAGGAGCUGUUGCAGUGGGCCUGUUGAUCUUCUGUGCUGUUUGGAUUCCUAGGAAAUGUAAGAAGUGUGGGGGCUCUGCUCAGGGUGGAACAGGGUAUGUGAGUUCUUUAUCUGCAACUGAUACACUUAUAAUUAUAUUAAUACAGAAUAGCAUCUGAAAUCAAACUCUAGUAAUACAUAAAAUACCCUGAGGGAACAAUAGUGAUGUGAAAGAUGUUUUAUGUAUUUAUUAAGAAACACAACCAAACCUGCACAAUAUUUUUACAACAUUAGUGAUUUAGGUUAUUUUUAUAGACCAUUUCUUAUUAACUUUUUACAGCAGGGGUCAGCAAUAGACGAGCAUGAAACAUUACACAUAAUGGCUUGGAAAAUAUCUGGCCCACGGCCAAACUUCAUUCCCGACCCCUGUUUUACAGGUUCCUAAUAUUCAAAAUUAUUAUGAGAAUUCUAUUGUUUUUAUGUUUUAUUUUAUUAUCUUUAAUUCAUUAUUUACAUAAGGUCAAACAAUGCUGCAUAACAUCACAAUGAACAGAAGGAUAUUGUUCAAAAACUGUAACAAAUCAAUAGUACUUUUAAGUAUAUUGAUACAUUUUAAGGAUAUUUAAUCAGACAUUCAUUCAUGCAGUUUUUCAUGUUUUUGAAAGCACUGCUUUUACAGGCAGAUUUACCUUGUACUAAGGCUAAUGUUAUUUCUUGUUUCUGUGUCUCUCUCACAGGGCUACAGUAUAACAGGCAUGAAUGAAGCUGACAUGGAUCAAUUUCACUGAACCUCCUUAGACUUCAGGGUCUUCAGAUAGCAGGAUCUACAGUGGAUUCUCUGGCCAAUCCUUUCUGAAAACAAGAAAAAAGUGAUUUUACUCAUUUAUAAACUCAUUAGCUUUUUGUUUAAAUUAUGUGUCUUAGAAAUGGAGUUAAUUUGACUUAAUGAACUGACAAACUGAACUGUACUGUAGUUAAUAGUAGUAUUUGUGUUUUUGCUACCUGAGUUAAACAAAUUGAUACUAACAAAUGGGAUUUAUAUGAAAAAUGUCAUUAUUGUCGUCUAUGACUGCAAUAAAUGUUUAUGACUUCUAAUAAAUA
This 2179-nucleotide long non-coding RNA is filed under the name Astyanax mexicanus (Mexican tetra). RNAcentral describes it as "lncRNA (ENSAMXG00005019307.1)". Lineage: Eukaryota; Metazoa; Chordata; Actinopteri; Characiformes; Acestrorhamphidae. The record is from RNAcentral.